UUCCUGUCAAUCAGAAAUACCCUUCAAUAUGAAGAAGUGAAAAUGAAACCAUAAGUCCAUGGACACAUGGGAGACAGACGAAUUUCUGCCUCUUUUUAUCCUGACUAGUCAUCCUUGAAUUUGGAGUUGUCCAUGAAGUUCUUCUACUGUCCAGAAAGAGGGCGCACACUUCCUUAGUUCCCAUCAGCGUGGUGGGAAAGAUUCCUACAGAGGCUGAAGAAAUAACAUUCUGGUGCUUUUUAAUGCUUAUCAAUGCAGAUCUUUCACCUGGGGAGCAAUCUGUUGUUCCCACUACAAUAAAAAAUAUGGAGUUUCUUUGAUAAAAAAUCUUAAUUUGUCUCUCCUUCUCCUUCUUCUUCCUCUUCCUUGCUGGAAGACAUGCAUGUCUGGC
This 391-nucleotide long non-coding RNA is filed under the name Homo sapiens (human). Its description in RNAcentral is "HSALNT0264217". The record is from RNAcentral. Lineage: Eukaryota; Metazoa; Chordata; Mammalia; Primates; Hominidae.